Molecule: RNA transcript, 2765 nt
Organism: Vitis vinifera (wine grape)
Lineage: Eukaryota; Viridiplantae; Streptophyta; Magnoliopsida; Vitales; Vitaceae
Gene name: cell wall integrity protein scw1
Exons: 10
Source: RefSeq, a predicted model, not a curated record
AAGCCAAAAGAAAAGGCUCUAUUAGGGUUUUAAAAGUGGCCAAAUACUCAAGGUCUCCACUCUAUCCCAUAUUCCAAACCCUCUGAAAAUGGCCGGUGCCGGAAUCCACCCCUACCACCAGCAGUGGCCGCCGGCCCCGGCUCCUCAGCCCUCCGCCCCCGGAGCCCCUCCUGCCCCCGCCCACCCUCCUCCCAUUCUCGUCGAAAACCCUAACCGGCCCAACUCCGACGAGGUACGUACGAUCUUCAUCUCGGGUCUACCUGAGGACGUGAAGGAGAGGGAGCUCCAGAAUCUGCUGAGGUGGUUGCCGGGAUACGAGGCUUCGCAGGUGAAUUUCAAGGGGGAGCAUCCCAUGGGUUUCGCGCUUUUCUCCACUCCUCAGCUCGCGGUCGCUGCCAAAGAUGCGCUUCAGGAAAUGGUUUUUGAUGCAGAGUCAAAGUCCGUAUUGCACACCGAAAUGGCAAAGAAGAACCUUUUUGUUAAAAGAGGAAUAGUAGCAGAUUCAAGUGCAUAUGAUCAAAGUAAGCGCUUGAGAACUGGUGGUGACUACACGCAUACGGGUUAUUCAAGUCCAUCUCCUUUUCAUCCUCCUCCAGCACCUGUUUGGGGACCACAUGGGUAUAUGGCUCCAGCUCCUCCUCCAUAUGACCCAUAUGGAGCUUACCCUGUCCCUCCAGUACCAAUGCCUGCUCCUGCUCCUGUACCAGCACCCAGCAGUUAUGUGCCUGUUCAGAAUACAAAAGAUAAUCCUCCUUGCAAUACCCUAUUUAUUGGAAAUCUUGGGGAGAACAUAAAUGAGGAAGAACUGAGGGGUCUUUUCAGUGUACAACCAGGUUUUAAGCAGAUGAAGAUCUUAAGACAGGAAAGACAUACUGUUUGCUUCAUUGAAUUUGAAGACAUGAAUACUGCUACCAAUGUGCACCAUAGUUUGCAGGGUGCUGUUAUCCCCAGUUCAGGUUCUGUUGGCAUGCGAAUACAAUAUUCGAAGAACCCAUUUGGGAAAAGGAAGGACUCUGGCCACCCUGUUGCCGUAGCUGGUGCCAAUGGAGCUCCUGCACCUCCGACUUACCAAUAGCUGGAAGGGGAUGUACUCUGUUCUUUAAGUUCCGCAAAUACAACUACUACAUGAUAGGAUGCAUCAUGCAGCUGUUGCAUGCAUCCAUUUCAUUGUCAGGCUCCUCAAAGCAUAAUAACCUGAAGAAUGUCAGAAAAUAUAUGGUGCUGUAAUAAUGCAGGAAUUAUCAUACAAAAUGACAAAGCUUUCAUUCGUUUGAGGAGGUUCCAAGUGCUGAAGCUGCUCCUUGUUUCAGGUAAUUUACUCUAACAACCAGACUACCAAUUCAUUAUCCCCCUACAAAGUUAGCUAUGCAGCUCAUAUAGGGUAAAACCUUUGUUUCGUUUUUUAACUGAAGCUGGCAUGAGAUCAAUAGCCAAGCUUGGGAUAACAUGUUAAAGGCAGCAGGUUUCUGCACUCCUUAUGAUUGUGAGAAACUUAUUUUCAAUUUGAUGUUGAAAAUGAACAUUUUUUGUGGCUCAAAUAUAAAAUUAAGUAUGAAGAAUAAGAUAUCAUUACAUUAGAACUGUUCCACUUUUUUGAAACCUUUAAGGUUAAACAAUUUAUUUUCUAUCCUUUCUUUUUGGCUAGUGGAUGUUGCUAUCUUAGCUACUUAACUGUCAGAAUAUAUUAUUCUUUAGUUCAUUCAUCAAGGGAAUCUAAUCUUUCACUGGUCAUUCACAUACUGGCAUAUGGUUCAAUCAGAAGUAGACAGUGGUUUAGCUAUCAUGAAAAUGUAAUCACAGAGCUCCUGUUUCUUAAAAUCUCUGAUUACAACAUGUAAGAGAGCGACAGGUUUCAUUUGAACCGUAGAUUGAAUUUAUGAUGUUAAAAACCCCUUCUUGGAGGCCAUUGCUGCUACAGAUAACUCAAAAUUUCAGCUUCCCUUGUACUUGUUGAUUGCUUAACUAAUUUUUGGCAAAAUUCACACACCCCCCUCUUUGCAGAGGCAGAACAAAAUGCACCAAAAUGGGAAGAUCAGCAUGUUAGAACCUUCAGUUUUUUUAUGGUACAAAUUUGUUAUAAGUUUGGGUGAUCAUAAUCACUUAAAAAAAUGGAAUUUCUUGGUGGCUUGUUUGUUUAUUUGCACAAUCUGGACUUGGAAAAAAUCUGGUUUUGGAGGCAGAGCUCAUGAUUUUGGAAGAGUAUUCAUAUAUGCAUUUAGACCGCUAUCGAUCAGCAAUCCCGAAUUAGUGGUUACAUAGGAGAGAUGAAUUUAACACCUCUUGUUUUGUAGCUUAUGAGCCUAAAUUUGUGGAUAUAAGGUGUUUACUGAACUAAUGAUCCAUGUGUCAUUUCAUCAGAAGUUUCCAGGUGAAAAAAAAAAGUCUUAGAUAUUAUUGGAGUCAUUGUAGGAGUUUUUCUUUUGCUCAUCACAUACUUUAAGAUGCCAUGAAGGGUUUUGUCAAUGGUAGUGUUGGAGCAUGCAGUUUCAAGGAAAGCGUAAUAUGAAUGUCAUUUGUCAACAUGCAACUUGAAGGAAAGGAUUACUGCUUUUGAAUAUAUCCUUCUUUAUCAAUUCCACCAUUUUCAUUAGGUAUGUAAUGAAGAGGUUGAUGGGAAGAUCCAUUAGAAUUCUGUGACACUAUUUGAUUUGAUAUCACAAUGUUACAGGGUAAAGCUAUUUAUUAUGAAUGACAGUGCUCAUAGCUUGGGGUUUGCCUUUUUUUGAACUCUAGUUAGAUACUGAAAUCAAGUUAUAAUUCAUUUC